GACGAACGCUGGCGGCGUGCUUAACACAUGCAAGUCGAACGGAAAGGCCCUGCUUUUGUGGGGUGCUCGAGUGGCGAACGGGUGAGUAACACGUGAGUAACCUGCCCUUGACUUUGGGAUAACUUCAGGAAACUGGGUCUAAUACCGGAUAGGAGCUCCUGCUGCAUGGUGGGGGUUGGAAAGUUUCGGCGGUUGGGGAUGGACUCGCGGCUUAUCAGGUUGUUGGUGGGGUAGUGGCUUACCAAGGAUUUGACGGGUAGCCGGCCUGAGAGGGUGACCGGCAAAAUUGGGAAUGAGAGACGGACCAGACUGCUACGGGAGGCAGCAGUGGGGAAUAUUGCAGAAUGGGCGGAAGCCUGAUGCAGCAAAGCGGCGUGCGGGAUGACGGCCUUCGGGUUGUAAACCGAUUUCGCCUGUGACGAAGCGUGAGUGACGGUAAUGGGUAAAGAAGCACCGGCUAACUACGUG
This 468-nucleotide ribosomal RNA is filed under the name uncultured bacterium. RNAcentral's name for it is "partial 16S ribosomal RNA". It matches the Rfam family "Bacterial small subunit ribosomal RNA", at positions 28 to 507 of the family's 1533-position model. The record is from RNAcentral.